Acanthosepion pharaonis is the source of this 107-nucleotide non-coding RNA. Lineage: Eukaryota; Metazoa; Mollusca; Cephalopoda; Sepiida; Sepiidae. The record is from the annotation of a GenBank genome assembly.
UACAACCACACCAUGCUGAAAAACCGGUUCCCGUACGAUAACUGAAGUUAAGCAACUUCGAACCGGUCAGUCCCUAGAUGGGUGUCCGCUUGGGAAUACCAGGUACU